Molecule: non-coding RNA, 804 nt
Filed under: uncultured Kluyvera sp.
Lineage: Bacteria; Pseudomonadati; Pseudomonadota; Gammaproteobacteria; Enterobacterales; Enterobacteriaceae
Description: antisense RNA of rseC mRNA
Rfam family: antisense RNA of rseC mRNA
Source: RNAcentral
CCUGGGCUUCCAUUUCACGAUCGGAAAGGCCACCGCAAAUCUGAAUAAUACGGUCAGACAGCGUUGAUUUACCGUGGUCGAUAUGUGCAAUGAUGGAGAAGUUACGUAUAUUCUUCAUAUAUUAAUAUAUUUAUGCCUUACGAAUACUUUGAGGCCGCGGUACGGAGCCUGACAUGAUUGUCGUUCGAAAACGCCGCAUUCUACACUACAACCGCGCAACCAGGAAAUGCUCUUCCCGCCAAGCAUAGCGCUUACUGCGAGGAGUGUUCCAAAAAUAAUAAAGCCAGUGUUAUCACUGGCUCAUUUCAGAAGAUGAUGCGGUACGAAUCAAGUCGGGAGGAAGGCCGACGCUGAUAAUAAUAGGCUGCCAGGUCUCGCGCGCGGCAAGUCUGGGGGAGAAGCCUUUGGCAAUCAAAAAACCGCCCACGCCACCGAGUAUCGCCCCACUUAAUGCGGCGAUAUCCGAACCAAAGAGCACCUGAAACAGCGAAGCCACCACAAAUAACCCGAUUAGCGGUGACAUAUAGACCAGCAUAGCGGAUCCGAGCAGGCUGCUUUCGGUGAUCCCUAAUUCGACUUUUUGCCCGGCCACCAACGGCUCAGCGCUAGGAACAGAAAUAGUAUGGCUGGUUUGCGGCCCGAGUUUAUUCAGCACCCGCGUUCCACAGCCAGCACGUGAGGAGCAGCUAUUGCAAGAAGUUUUCACGUCACAGCUAACCUGCGCCAUACCGUUAUCCCAUGCGAUAACGGUCGCCCACUCUUUAAUCAUUGUGCACCUUUAAAUGAAAUACCGUCGGCUACGCG